Long non-coding RNA from Aquila chrysaetos chrysaetos, 194 nucleotides. RefSeq lists it as uncharacterized. The record is from RefSeq and is a predicted model, not a curated record. The transcript is spliced from 3 exons. Lineage: Eukaryota; Metazoa; Chordata; Aves; Accipitriformes; Accipitridae.
GGCUGGUCCCCGCGGCGGUGCCCGGGUGCCGGGGCGGGAGCGGGGGGGGCAGAGCGCUGGGCGCUGCUGGAGCACGGCUGCCGCAAAGGAUCGCCCGGAAAGCCAGGCCUUCAUUUACAUCUAAAUUUCAUGUGAGCCAUGUCAUAGUAACUCUUAACGACACACACAAGUGGUAGCUUUUUACAUUCCUUGAC